This 1067-nucleotide long non-coding RNA is filed under the name Equus caballus (horse). RNAcentral's name for it is "lncRNA (ENSECAG00000052664.1)". The record is from RNAcentral. Lineage: Eukaryota; Metazoa; Chordata; Mammalia; Perissodactyla; Equidae.
CUGUUUGUGACGUCGAGAGUUUCUAGGAGAUGGGCCGUGAUGUUCCCUGUUCUGAGGGUAGGCACCUUGAUUCAUCUAGAAUGUUGGUUGUGAACAGUUUCACAGUUUUUGAAGCAUAUCGCUGAAAUGCUUUCCCAAAGAAUGGUGCCAGUUUCUACUCUAAUCAGUAAUAGAGAUGAAUAAACUCACUCUGGUGAACACGUUUAUUCAGUGUGUGGAGUUUACAAAAGGCUCAAGUCCCAUCACGAUGAAAGGAGGGUAUUUAUUCUCACCAUUUUGUCAUCAGGCUCAUUUAUACAUUUUCUGGGCCUUCUACUUUUUUCCUAUUCCUCAUAUCAAUCAGGGUGUUUUCAUAGAUGCACAACCCCUAGAAGAUGUAUAUAUCUUUGUUACAGGGAUGUGACUUUACACAUUUGUGGAGCUGGCUGAGCAGGCUCCCUAAGACUGUUGUCUUUGCGUCUGAUGCUGGAGCUGGAAGUCCACAGGGUGAGUGGUUGGGAAGGGAAGGGGAACAUUAAGUGGGAGGGCUGGGGAGCUAGCUGGAACGCACAAGCAUGAUCGAAGGAUGGACUGAAAGUUGUAUCUAUUAUUGUUGCCUCUAACCUUGGUGAUGAGAGCAUCCUGCAGAAUCCAGGGGCCUUCCUCAUGGAGCUAAUAGACACCCAUAUCUAGCCUGCCAGUUGGAGAAGGUGAAGAAGGAAUGGGGAAAGUGGAGCACUUGCAGACCCAGCCACUGCUUCAUGCCAACAAAAAAAAGCAAUGAGAACCUGGGCUGAGACAGUAGCAAAUGCACCCUUGCAUUUGGGAAAGUAGCCGGGUGGCAAAAUCAUGGGUGUGAAACAAUGCUCUCAAAUGUAGAAGCCAGAAGAACCCAGAGAGGGUAGAGGAAAUGUCUUCCUCCCCUACAGUAACAAACGAGCCCCCAAGUACAUAGUUAUAUAUUCUAGCUGUGAGUGCCUCUGGUUAUGGCAUGUGGGAUGCCGCCUCAUUGUGGCCUGAUGAGCAGUGCCAGGUCUGCGCCCAGGAUCCGAACUGGCGAAACCCUGGGCCACCCAAGCGGAGCGUGC